GGGCAUGUAGCUUAAUGGUAGAGCCAGCAACUUCUAAUUGCUUAAUGGGAGUUCAAGUCUCCUGAUGUCCA
This 71-nucleotide transfer RNA is filed under the name Cystobasidium minutum MCA 4210. RNAcentral's name for it is "tRNA-Arg". It matches the Rfam family "tRNA". Rfam says of the family: Transfer RNA (tRNA) molecules are approximately 80 nucleotides in length. Their secondary structure includes four short double-helical elements and three loops (D, anti-codon, and T loops). The record is from RNAcentral. Lineage: Eukaryota; Fungi; Basidiomycota; Cystobasidiomycetes; Cystobasidiales; Cystobasidiaceae. RNAcentral also lists the same sequence under 1 other name.